Molecule: ribosomal RNA, 253 nt
Filed under: uncultured bacterium
Lineage: Bacteria
Description: partial 16S ribosomal RNA
Rfam family: Bacterial small subunit ribosomal RNA
Source: RNAcentral
UACAGAGGUCUCAAGCGUUGUUCGGAUUCAUUGGGCGUAAAGGGUGCGUAGGCGCCGCGGUAAGUCGGGUGUGAAAUCUCGGAGCUUAACUCCGAAACUGCAUUCGAUACUGCCGUGCUUGAGGACUGGAGAGGAGACUGGAAUUUACGGUGUAGCGGUGAAAUGCGUAGAUAUCGUAAGGAAGACCAGUGGCGAAGGCGGGUCUCUGGACAGUUCCUGACGCUGAGGCACGAAGGUCAGGGGAGCAAACGGG